Molecule: ribosomal RNA, 408 nt
Filed under: uncultured bacterium
Lineage: Bacteria
Description: partial 16S ribosomal RNA
Rfam family: Bacterial small subunit ribosomal RNA
Source: RNAcentral
GACGAACGCUGGCGGCGUGCUUAACACAUGCAAGUCGAACGAAGUGGCGAACGGGUGAGUAACGCGUAAUCAACCUGCCCUUCCUAGGGGGACGACUGUUGGAAACGACUUCUCAUACCGCAUCCUGCAGGAGGUGAUUGCGUCUGAUUAGCUAGUUGGCGGGGUAAGGGCCCACCAAGGCGAUGAUCAGUAGCCGGUCUGAGAGGAGGACCGGCCACAUUGGGACUGAGACACGGCCCAGACUACUACGGGAGGCAGCAGUGGGGAAUCGUCCGCAAUGGACGAAAGUCUGACGGAGCAACGCCGCGUGAGUUAUGACGGCCUUCGGGUUGUAAAGCUCUGUUAAUCGGGACGCGGUACCGGAAUAGAAAGCCACGGCUAACUACGUGCCAGCCGCCGCGGUAAUAC